GGCUCUGUGGCGCAAUGGAUAGCGCAUUGGACUUCUAAUUCAAAAAUUGUGGGUUCGAGUCCCACCAGAGUCG
This 73-nucleotide transfer RNA is filed under the name Danio rerio (zebrafish). RNAcentral describes it as "tRNA-Arg (TCT) (tRNA-Arg-TCT-19-1)". It matches the Rfam family "tRNA". Rfam says of the family: Transfer RNA (tRNA) molecules are approximately 80 nucleotides in length. Their secondary structure includes four short double-helical elements and three loops (D, anti-codon, and T loops). Further hydrogen bonds mediate the characteristic L-shaped molecular structure. tRNAs have two regions of fundamental functional importance: the anti-codon, which is responsible for specific mRNA codon recognition, and the 3' end, to which the tRNAs corresponding amino acid is attached (by aminoacyl-tRNA synthetases). tRNAs cope with the degeneracy of the genetic code in two manners: having more than one tRNA (with a specific anti-codon) for a particular amino acid; and 'wobble' base-pairing, i.e. permitting non-standard base-pairing at the 3rd anti-codon position. The record is from RNAcentral. Lineage: Eukaryota; Metazoa; Chordata; Actinopteri; Cypriniformes; Danionidae.